UCCUAACCAUGUCAACUACCUCCCCAUCGCCGCCUGUCUCCGCCGCCACCUACGACCGCGCCGAAGCUGUCAAACAAUUCGACAACACCAAGCUCGGCGUCAAAGGUCUCAUCGAUUCCGGAAUCAAAACAAUCCCUUCUUUCUUCGUCCACCCACCCGAAACCCUCUCCGACCUAAAUUCCCGAUCUCAAUCCAACAUCCCCACCGUCGACCUCUCCGCUAUCUCCUCCUCCCGCGCCACCGUCGUUGACAAUAUCCGACGCGCCGCCAGCACCGUCGGCUUCUUCCAAGUCAUCAACCA
RNAcentral lists this long non-coding RNA (301 nucleotides) under Lupinus angustifolius (narrow-leaved blue lupine). RNAcentral describes it as "long non-coding RNA (LANG_LNC003677)". The record is from RNAcentral. Lineage: Eukaryota; Viridiplantae; Streptophyta; Magnoliopsida; Fabales; Fabaceae.